This 461-nucleotide ribosomal RNA is filed under the name uncultured bacterium. RNAcentral describes it as "partial 16S ribosomal RNA". It matches the Rfam family "Bacterial small subunit ribosomal RNA", at positions 338 to 795 of the family's 1533-position model. The record is from RNAcentral.
CCUACGGGAGGCAGCAGUGAGGAAUAUUGGUCAAUGGGCGGGAGCCUGAACCAGCCAAGUCGCGUGAGGGAAGACGGUCCUAUGGAUUGUAAACCUCUUUAGGCGGGGAGCAAUGCCGGGCACGUGUGCCCGGAGGGAUAGUACCCGCAGAAUAAGCAUCGGCUAACUCCGUGCCAGCAGGCGCGGGUAUACGGAGGAGGCGAGCGUUAUCCGGAUUUACUGGGUGUAAAGGGCGUGCAGCCGGGAAGACAAGUCAGAUGUGAAAUCCCGCGGCUCAACCGCGGAACUGCCUUUGAAACUGUUUGUCUUGAGUUGCGGAGAGGUGAUCGGAAUUCCUGGUGUAGCGGUGAAAUGCGUAGAUAUCAGGAAGAACACCAGUGGCGAAGGCGGAUGACUGGACGGCAACUGACGGUGAGGCGCGAAAGCGUGGGGAGCAAACAGGAUUAGAUACCCUGGUAGUC